UGGGGAAUAUUGCACAAUGGGCGCAAGCCUGAUGCAGCGACGCCGCGUGGGGGAUGACGGCCUUCGUGUUGUAAACUCCUUUCGCUAGGGACGAAGCUUUUUGUGACGGUACCUAGAUAAGAAGCACCGGCUAACUACGUGCCAGCAGCCGCGGUAAUACGUAGGGUGCGAGCGUUGUCCGGAAUUACUGGGCGUAAAGGGCUCGUAGGUGGUUUGUCGCGUCGUCUGUGAAAUUCCGGGGCUUAACUCCGGGCGUGCAGGCGAUACGGGCAUAACUUGAGUACUGUAGGGGUAACUGGAAUUCCUGGUGUAGCGGUGAAAUGCGCAGAUAUCAGGAGGAACACCGAUGGCGAAGGCAGGUUACUGGGCAGUUACUGACGCUGAGGAGCGAAAGCAUGGGUAGCGAACAGG
This 411-nucleotide ribosomal RNA is filed under the name Actinomycetes bacterium. Its description in RNAcentral is "Actinobacteria bacterium partial 16S ribosomal RNA". It matches the Rfam family "Bacterial small subunit ribosomal RNA", at positions 355 to 776 of the family's 1533-position model. The record is from RNAcentral. Lineage: Bacteria; Bacillati; Actinomycetota; Actinomycetes.